UGGGGAAUAUUGCACAAUGGGGGAAACCCUGAUGCAGCGACGCCGCGUGAACGAAGAAGGUAUUCGUAUCGUAAAGUUCUGUCCUAUGGGAAGAUAAUGACAGUACCAUAGAAGAAAGCUCCGGCUAAAUACGUGCCAGCAGCCGCGGUAAUACGUAUGGAGCGAGCGUUUGCCGGAAUUAUUGGGCGUAAAUGGUACGCAGGCGGUUUAAUAAGUCGAAUGUUAAAGAUCGGGGCUCAACCCCGCAAAGCAUUGGAAACUGAUAAACUUGAGGAGUGGAGAGGAAAGUGGAAUUCCUAGUGUAGUGGUGAAAUACGUAGAUAUUAGGAGGAAUACCAGUAGCGAAGGCGACUUUCUGGACACAAACUGACGCUGAGGUACGAAAGCGUGGGGAGCAAACAGG
RNAcentral lists this ribosomal RNA (403 nucleotides) under bacterium. RNAcentral's name for it is "partial 16S ribosomal RNA". It matches the Rfam family "Bacterial small subunit ribosomal RNA", at positions 355 to 776 of the family's 1533-position model. The record is from RNAcentral.